GCGCUCAAGGAUGGGCCUGCGGCGGAUUAGGUAGUUGGUGAGGUAAUGGCUCACCAAGCCGAUGAUCCGUAGCUGGUCUGAGAGGAUGAUCAGCCACACUGGCACUGAGACACGGGCCAG
RNAcentral lists this ribosomal RNA (120 nucleotides) under uncultured bacterium. RNAcentral describes it as "partial 16S ribosomal RNA". It matches the Rfam family "Bacterial small subunit ribosomal RNA", at positions 215 to 334 of the family's 1533-position model. The record is from RNAcentral.